GGCAUUAGCUCAGCGGUUAGAGCAGAGGACUCAUAAUCCUUUGGUCCCCGGUUCAAAUCCAGGAUGC
Molecule: transfer RNA, 67 nt
Filed under: uncultured Treponema sp.
Lineage: Bacteria; Pseudomonadati; Spirochaetota; Spirochaetia; Treponematales; Treponemataceae
Rfam family: tRNA
About the family: Transfer RNA (tRNA) molecules are approximately 80 nucleotides in length. Their secondary structure includes four short double-helical elements and three loops (D, anti-codon, and T loops). Further hydrogen bonds mediate the characteristic L-shaped molecular structure. tRNAs have two regions of fundamental functional importance: the anti-codon, which is responsible for specific mRNA codon recognition, and the 3' end, to which the tRNAs corresponding amino acid is attached (by aminoacyl-tRNA synthetases). tRNAs cope with the degeneracy of the genetic code in two manners: having more than one tRNA (with a specific anti-codon) for a particular amino acid; and 'wobble' base-pairing, i.e. permitting non-standard base-pairing at the 3rd anti-codon position.
Source: RNAcentral